GAGGAGGGGGCACCCAGAAGGGGCCCUGAAGUCAAGGGCAUCGUCCAACCUUUCUACCUCCCCAGCUGAAGACAGGCUGGAGGACAAUUCUCCAGAGUUUCAUAACAAAGAAGAGAAAAAAGAAAUCAAAAAGCCCUGGAGGAUAGGGAGUGUGACCACUGUAUGUCAGCCACUGGGGGACCGGCUUCAGCUUACAACCACCUUCCAAAUUCCACCCUCUCACCUUGGCAGAAGCUGGCCAGGAAUUGGGGCCAAUGGAUGGGUGGGGUCUGCACAGGACACCGUAUUCAGGUCCCCAUGACGGCCUCACACAAAGGUGGUGGCCCUGCAGUUCCAGGUGCCACACAAACGCCAGCCCCUGCUCGGGCCCUGAUCUUUGAGGAAGGGGAGCAGCAGAACCCGAGCACUGACCCCACAGUGCCACUCACACCCACAGACGAUUCUCCACAGAGGCAUCAGGUCUCGGUCUUGGCCACCUCCUCCUGCAGGGCCUCAGCUGUUUCCUGGGACUCACGUGGUCCUUCCUCACAUGCAGCUCUGGAUUCAGGGCAGACUCUCUGAAGACCUUGUGGGAAACAGCAGAGUCCAGCAGAGAAGACAAGAAAAGCCCAGCUGCAAAGAUGAAAAAAUGGCAGGUGUGACAUGGGCCCCCCAUUCUGAUUCUGUAUUUAGAUGAGGUCUUCCGGAACACCUGCUCUCAUUGGAUACAACUUCAAAUAUAUAUAUAUACAUAUAUAUAUAUGUUUUGUUUUGUUUUUUUUUUUGAGACAAAAUCUCACUCUGUUGCCCACGCUGGAGUGCAGUGGCGUGAUCUCGGCUCACUGCAACCUCCAUAUGCCAGGUCCUGGUUCAAGCAAUUCUCCUGCCACAGCUUCCUGAAUAGCUGAGAUUACAGACAUGCACCCCCAUGCCGGGCUAAUCUUUUGUACUUUUAGCAGAGACGGCGUUUCACCAAGUUGGCAAGGUUGGUCUUGGAGCCCUGGCCUCGGGUGAUUCACCCAGCUUGCCCUCCUAAAGUGCUAAGAUUACAGGCAUGAGCCACCGUACCCGGCCCAUUGUGGCAGAUUAAUCACAGAGGAAAAGAAGGCCUGGACUCAGCAUGAAGAUGAUGGAAAGGGGUAAGAGCAGCUCUCUACAUACGGUGUUGCCAGCUUCCAAUUUUCAACAUAAGGGACCCUAAAUAGCUUUCCCAACAAAAACAACUGAGAUGUUGGGUAAAACCUACAAAAAUGCAUCUUUGUAAGUGCAUUACUGAGCUGGCAUUGAAGGAUGGAAUCCACAGCAGUCAAUAAAGAAUUGGCGGGAACAAAAGUGGAAUUUCUU
RNAcentral lists this long non-coding RNA (1323 nucleotides) under Piliocolobus tephrosceles (Ugandan red Colobus). Its description in RNAcentral is "lncRNA (ENSPTEG00000001358.1)". The record is from RNAcentral. Lineage: Eukaryota; Metazoa; Chordata; Mammalia; Primates; Cercopithecidae.